This 1115-nucleotide ribosomal RNA is filed under the name Vibrio parahaemolyticus. Its description in RNAcentral is "bacterial SSU rRNA". It matches the Rfam family "Bacterial small subunit ribosomal RNA", at positions 231 to 1353 of the family's 1533-position model. The record is from RNAcentral. Lineage: Bacteria; Pseudomonadati; Pseudomonadota; Gammaproteobacteria; Vibrionales; Vibrionaceae.
GUAUGACGUCAUGGCGUUGCAAGCUAGAGGCUAGCAUGCGGACAUACUAGCGUAGAGGAGAUGAUCAGCCACACUGGCAUUCGGACUCGAUUCCGAUUCCGUACGGAGCAGCAAGUGGGCAAUCUGGCACAAUCGGCGCAGGCCUGAAUGCAGGCAUGCCUGGUGUGUGAAGCAGCAUACGGGUCGUACAGCACUUCAGUCGUGAGGCAUGCUCGUGUAGUCAAUAGCUGCAUCGUAGACGUCAGCGACAGACGAAGCACUGGCUAACUCCGUGCCAGCAGCGCGGUAAUACGGAGGGUGCUAGCAGAUAUCAGGAAUUACUGGGCGUAAGCGCAUGCAGGUGGUUUGUUAGUAGAUGUGAAAGGCCCGGGGCUCCAACCUGGGAAUUGCAUUGAACUGGCAGACUAGAGUACUGUAGAGGGGGGUAGAAUUUCAGGUGUAGCGGUGAAAUGCGUAGAGAUCUGAAGGAAUACCGGUGGCGAGGGCGGCCCCCCGGGACAGAUACUGACACUCAGAUGCGAAGCGUGGGGAGCAAACAGGAUAGAUACCCUGGUAGUCCACGCCGUAAACGAUGUCUACUUGGAGGUUGUGGCCCUGAGCCGUGGCUUUCGGAGCUAACGCGUUAAGUAGACCGCCUGGGGAGUACGGUCGCAAGAUUAAAACUCAAAUGAAUUGACGGGGGCCCGCACAAGCGGUGGAGCAUGUGGUUUAAUUCGAUGCAACGCGAAGAACCUUACCUACUCUUGACAUCCAGAGAACUUUCCAGAGAUGGAUUGGUGCCUUCGGGAACUCUGAGACAGGUGCUGCAUGGCGUCGUCAGCUCGUGUUGUGAAAUGUUGGGUUAAGUCCCGCAACGAGCGCAACCCUUAUCCUUGUUUGCCAGCGAGUAAUGUCGGGAACUCCAGGGAGACUGCCGGUGAUAAACCGGAGGAAGGUGGGGACGACGUCAAGUCAUCAUGGCCCUUACGAGUAGGGCUACACACGUGCUACAAUGGCGCAUACAGAGGGCGGCCAACUUGCGAAAGUGAGCGAAUCCCAAAAAAUGCGUCGUAGUCCGGAUUGGAGUCUGCAACUCGACUCCAUGAAGUCGGAAUCGCUUGUAAUCGUGGAUCAGA